Molecule: long non-coding RNA, 346 nt
Organism: Saccostrea cuccullata (small rock oyster)
Lineage: Eukaryota; Metazoa; Mollusca; Bivalvia; Ostreida; Ostreidae
Exons: 3
Source: RefSeq, a predicted model, not a curated record
GAGUGGAACAAAUGCUGCUUUUUCCAAUAAAACCUUAAUCACAGUGAUUGAUGCAAAGGAACUUUUAAAGCCGAACGUAGAAUAUUUUGUCACGGUAUCAAAGGAUCUUGACGGCUGCAUAUACAUUGUCAGUGCACGGGAAUGGAAGAACCUUAACGACUUUCAAAGGGGUUGGCUGAAGAACAAUAUAUAUGCCAACAAUUGCGGAGACUUAAACAGGUGCUUCAAAGAUAUCCCCGAGGAAUCUGAUCCCACUUUCGAGUGUUACGACAGAUUUUCGUUCUGUUCCUCAAGUGACAGAAAGCUGGUAGGAAAAAAGAGAGAUUUAAACAGAUGUAUUAAAAGA